AAUAUUAUUUACUAAUUAGUACAUGCUUUGGAUUAUUAAUAUGUUGUUCAUGAAUUGUUUUAUGGUAUAUUAUUGUUUAAGAUGCUUAUUUCGACUUAUAUUCGUAAUGUUAUUACUAUCCAUGAAGUAUACCUGAAUAUAUAUAUAUAUGUAUAUAUAUUGUUUCUAUAUAUAUUUGCUAUGAAAAGUAGAUUGUAGUAUUAUGUUAUACGGAUGAAUAUAGACCUCCUGCGGAACUGGAAACCAAAACAGAUCGGUAACACGCCUAUAUUGCAUCCUCAGAGGUGGUGAGGAGAAACAAUAAAUACGCAAUACAUGUUCACAAACAAGCUGUUAAACCAUGGAGAAAGCUCACGAGCUUGUGGUUUUCUUGGCAGCAUUGAAAAUUCAUUAC
Bactrocera oleae (olive fruit fly) is the source of this 394-nucleotide non-coding RNA. Lineage: Eukaryota; Metazoa; Arthropoda; Insecta; Diptera; Tephritidae. The record is from RefSeq and is a predicted model, not a curated record.